This 995-nucleotide long non-coding RNA is filed under the name Marmota monax (woodchuck). Lineage: Eukaryota; Metazoa; Chordata; Mammalia; Rodentia; Sciuridae. The record is from RNAcentral.
GGGGGAACAAAGUUGCCUGGUGUCUUCUCCCGGCUCAGGCCCCACAGGGACAAAGCUUGGAGAUGGAGGAAGCAGGCCAGGGCAACUAGGCCCAUCCAUUGCCCAAGCGCCAAGGGCUACUCUCUACCUACACAAUCCCAGGAAGUAAGGAGCCCAGAAAGCUUUCAGUGAGUCCAGAGACCAGCUGUCGAGCUGUGACAAGUGUCAAUCAGAAUUUCAAACUGAAAUAAUCAUCUCUAGAAUUAUAAUCAUGGUAACAAUAAUAGUGAUGAGCAUAACAGCCCCCUUGGUUGAAGAGCUUUCUCAGCGCCAGGUGGUCUGCAGGACACUUUCUUUUAUCAACUCCAAUCAGGUUGCUAGAGUCACCUGAUCUUUCUAAGGUGCAGAUCCAAUAACUUAACUGAGCUGCAUGGAAAGGACCUUAUGACCCCCUCUGACAGACAAGGAAACUGAGGCUAAGAAGGGUACAGGGACUCAGCUACUUAGCUAAAAUUUGAACCUGAAACUGCCCAGUUCCAAAGUCCUCUUUUUUUAAUCUUUUGUGGUACUAAGGAUUAAACGCAGGAUGACCCAUCUCCAGUCCUUUCUAUUUUUAAUUUUGAGACAUGAUCUCAUUAAGUUGCUGAGACUGGCUUGAAUUUGUGAGACUUCUUCCCCAGCCUCUCAAGUAGCUGGGAUUCCAGGUCUGCACCACUGAACGGGCUCCAAGAUUUUUAAGCAGUAACUCCACCUUUUAAAUAUUUUUUUUUAGUUGUUGAUGAACCUUUAUUUUAUUUAUUUAUAUGUGGUGCUGAGAAUCGAACCCAGUGCCUCACACAUGCUAGGCAAGCGCUCUACCACUGAGCCACAACCCCAGCCUCUAAGCAGCCCCCUUUGCUCUGGGCCACAGUCUCCCUCCCAGCCACCUCCGUUCUCCAUGAACAGCUUGACCCACUUCUCUUCCUGCCCCCAUGAUCUCCCUCAGGUCCCUCCUGUCCCUCCCUCCCUCAGACUGU